UCUGCUCCUCUACCUCCACCUGUCGGCCCGUGAUCUACUGGUGCCACGAGUGCGACAUGAGCGUUACCCUCCUCCCCUCCCACCCACCUCUCAUCUGCCCCGAUUGCUCCCGCUCCGACUUCCUCGAAGAAAUGGAACUACUCCAACCCCCCACCGACCAUCAGUCGUCCUCCUCUGCCGCCGCCGACGUCGCUCCCCCUCCCCAAUCCCUGCCCCUCGUCCUCACCGAUUCCGAUGACGAUGACAACGACGGAGGCUUCGCUUACGACUCCGACCAACGCCGCAGCCUUCCCUCUAACCCGAGCUAUCGCCUCCGCCGCCGUAUCGACCCGCUUUUCCUGGAACCCGCCCCCCGGCUCGGCCCCUCCUCCGCUCCUGCCGCCUCCAUCGACGCCCUACCCAUAGUCUGCAUCUCGGACGAUGCCUCCCUCCCCGCUUGUGCCAUCUGCAAGGACGAUUUCC
Molecule: long non-coding RNA, 462 nt
Filed under: Musa acuminata (dwarf banana)
Lineage: Eukaryota; Viridiplantae; Streptophyta; Magnoliopsida; Zingiberales; Musaceae
Description: long non-coding RNA (MACU_LNC005517)
Source: RNAcentral